GACGAACGCUGGCGGCGUGCUUAACACAUGCAAGUCGAACGAUGAUGCCAGCUUGCUGGUGGAUUAGUGGCGAACGGGUGAGUAACACGCGGGUGAUCUGCCCCGAACUUUGGGAUAAGCCUGGGAAACUGGGUCUAAUACCGGAUAGUACCUUCCCUUGCAUGGGGGUUGGUGGAAAGCUCCGGCGGUUUGGGAUGGGCCCGCGGCCUAUCAGCUUGUUGGUGGGGUAAUGGCCUACCAAGGCGACGACGGGUAGCCGGCCUGAGAGGGCGACCGGCCACACUGGGACUGAGACACGGCCCAGACUCCUACGGGAGGCAGCAGUGGGGAAUAUUGCACAAUGGGCGCAAGCCUGAUGCAGCGACGCCGCGUGAGGGAUGACGGCCUUCGGGUUGUAAACCUCUUUCACCAGGGACGAAGCGUGAGUGACGGUACCUGGAGAAGAAGCACCGGCCAACUACGUG
RNAcentral lists this ribosomal RNA (464 nucleotides) under uncultured bacterium. RNAcentral's name for it is "bacterial SSU rRNA". It matches the Rfam family "Bacterial small subunit ribosomal RNA", at positions 28 to 507 of the family's 1533-position model. The record is from RNAcentral.